AGAAUCAACGCUGGCGGCGUGCCUAACACAUGCAAGUCGAACGAGAAAGUGGAGCAAUCCAUGAGUACAGUGGCGUACGGGUGAGUAACACGUGACUAACCUACCCUCGAGUGGGGAAUAACCUCGGGAAACCGGGGCUAAUACCGCAUAACAUCUUCGGAUCAAAUGCGUAAGCAGCUUGAGGAGGGGGUCGCGGCCGAUUAGCUAGUUGGCGGGGUAAUGGCCCACCAAGGCAAUGAUCGGUAGCCGGCCUGAGAGGGCGCACGGCCACACUGGAACUGAAACACGGUCCAGACUCCUACGGGAGGCAGCAGUGGGGAAUUUUGCGCAAUGGGGGAAACCCUGACGCAGCAACGCCGCGUGGAGGAUGAAGCCCCUUGGGGUGUAAACUCCUUUCGAUCGGGACGAUUAUGACGGUACCGGAUGAAGAAGCACCGGCUAACUCUGUCGCCAGCAGCCGC
Molecule: ribosomal RNA, 461 nt
Filed under: uncultured bacterium
Lineage: Bacteria
Description: SSU rRNA
Rfam family: Bacterial small subunit ribosomal RNA
Source: RNAcentral